Molecule: long non-coding RNA, 317 nt
Filed under: Elaeis guineensis (African oil palm)
Lineage: Eukaryota; Viridiplantae; Streptophyta; Magnoliopsida; Arecales; Arecaceae
Description: long non-coding RNA (EGUI_LNC014956)
Source: RNAcentral
GGUGUAGUAAUCUCCUCCUUAGUAGCCUCUUCUCCCAAACUAGGGAGACGAUGCUGCUCAGAUCUAAGUCUGGAUAUAACUUUUCGAUCGCAUCUCCGCCGUCUUUGUAUCCGAUGCAGUAGGAGGUGAAUCCACCUUCGAGAAUUUCAUCCAUGUACUCCUGUGAUUCUUUGAAAUUUUCAAUGGCCAAACUCAAAGCACUUUUUGCCGACUUUACUUCUUCUCUGGUGGAAGCCAACUCUGCAUCAGCCAGUGCCAACUUCUCUUGAGUGGCCCGAUGCCUUCCAUGCUCCGCCUCAAGUUCUUCAAUACAUCCG